AAACUUUCAACAACGGAUCUCUUGGUUCUGGCAUCGAUGAAGAACGCAGCGAAAUGCGAUAAGUAAUGUGAAUUGCAGAAUUCAGUGAAUCAUCGAAUCUUUGAACGCACAUUGCGCCCGUUGGAAUUCCAGCGGGCAUGCCUGUUCGAGCGUCAUUUC
Molecule: ribosomal RNA, 159 nt
Filed under: Chrysoporthe austroafricana
Lineage: Eukaryota; Fungi; Ascomycota; Sordariomycetes; Diaporthales; Cryphonectriaceae
Description: 5.8S ribosomal RNA
Rfam family: 5.8S ribosomal RNA
About the family: 5.8S ribosomal RNA (5.8S rRNA) is a component of the large subunit of the eukaryotic ribosome. It is transcribed by RNA polymerase I as part of the 45S precursor that also contains 18S and 28S rRNA. Functionally, it is thought that 5.8S rRNA may be involved in ribosome translocation.
Source: RNAcentral